AAGACUAUAGACCUGCGGAGUACCUGCGGAAGGAUCAUUAAUGAGAAACUGCCCCUCGCGGGUAGAUCUCCCACCCUUUGUAAACUUACCUUUGUUGCUUUGGCAGGCCCGUCUCCGGACCGCCGGCUUCGGCUGGCCAGUGCCUGCCAGAGGAUUCUAAAACUCUGUCUGUCAGUGUUGUCUGAGUCUAUAUACAAUCGUUAAAACUUUUAGCAACGGAUCUCUAGAUCGGAAGAGCAC
This 240-nucleotide unclassified non-coding RNA is filed under the name soil metagenome. Its description in RNAcentral is "partial contains 5.8S ribosomal RNA, internal transcribed spacer 2, and large subunit ribosomal RNA". The record is from RNAcentral.